CCCCUGCAGCUUCAUUUUUCCUCACAUCUAAGUAUUGGUCUGAGUGAUGAAAAAGGAAGAAAAGUAAAAUUGAAGUGGACUUGGCGUCAUUAGUGACUUAAAAGUUCAUUUCGAACAGGA
RNAcentral lists this small nucleolar RNA (120 nucleotides) under Echinops telfairi (small Madagascar hedgehog). Its description in RNAcentral is "Small nucleolar RNA SNORA61 (ENSETEG00000024895.1)". Lineage: Eukaryota; Metazoa; Chordata; Mammalia; Afrosoricida; Tenrecidae. The record is from RNAcentral.